This 252-nucleotide ribosomal RNA is filed under the name uncultured bacterium. Its description in RNAcentral is "partial 16S ribosomal RNA". It matches the Rfam family "Bacterial small subunit ribosomal RNA", at positions 524 to 776 of the family's 1533-position model. The record is from RNAcentral.
UACGGAGGAUGCGAGCGUUAUCCGGAUUUAUUGGGUUUAAAGGGAGCGUAGGCGGGAUGCCAAGUCAGCGGUAAAAAUGCGGUGCUCAACGCCGUCGAGCCGUUGAAACUGGCGUUCUUGAGUGGGCGAGAAGUAUGCGGAAUGCGUGGUGUAGCGGUGAAAUGCAUAGAUAUCACGCAGAACUCCGAUUGCGAAGGCAGCAUACCGGCGCCCUACUGACGCUGAGGCACGAAAGCGUGGGUAUCGAACAGG